This 437-nucleotide ribosomal RNA is filed under the name uncultured bacterium. RNAcentral describes it as "partial 16S ribosomal RNA". It matches the Rfam family "Bacterial small subunit ribosomal RNA", at positions 28 to 507 of the family's 1533-position model. The record is from RNAcentral.
GAUGAACGCUGGCGGCAUGCCUAACACAUGCAAGUCGGACGGGAAGUGGUGUUUCCAGUGGCGGUCGGGUGAGUAACGCGUAAGAACCUGCCCUUGGGAGGGGAACAACAGCUGGAAACGGCUGCUAAUACCCCGUAGGCUGAGGAGCAAAAGGAGGAAUCCGUCAGAGGGUGGGCUUGCGUCUGAUUAGCUAGUUGGUGAGGCAAUAGCUUACCAAGGCGAUGAUCAGUAGGCGGUCCGAGAGGAUGAUCAGCCACACUGGGACGGGGAGACGAACCAGGCUACGUCGGGCAGCAGGAGUGGGGAAUAUGCCGCAAUGGGGCAAAGGCUGACGGAGCAAUGCCGCGGGAAGGUAGAAGGCCCACGGGUCGUGAACUGCUUUUCCCGGAGAAGAAGCAAUGACGGUAUCUGGGGAAUAAGCAUCGGCUAACUCUGUG